Molecule: ribosomal RNA, 506 nt
Filed under: uncultured bacterium
Lineage: Bacteria
Description: partial 16S ribosomal RNA
Rfam family: Bacterial small subunit ribosomal RNA
Source: RNAcentral
AUUGAACGCUAGCGGCAGGCCUAACACAUGCAAGUCGAACGGUAGCACAGGAGAGCUUGCUCUCUGGGUGACGAGUGGCGGACGGGUGAGUAAUGCAUGGGGAGCUGCCCAAUCGAGGGGGAUACCAGCUGGAAACGGCUGCUAAUACCGCAUACGCCCUGAGGGGGAAAGGUGGGGACCUUCGGGCCUACCGCGAUUGGAUGCACCCAUGUGGGAUUAGCUAGUUGGUGAGGUAACGGCUCACCAAGGCGACGAUCUCUAGCUGGUCUGAGAGGAGGACCAGGCACACUGGAACUGAGCCGCGGUCCAGACUCCUACGGGAGGCAGCAGUGGGGAAUAUUGCACAAUGGGGGAAACCCUGAUGCAGCCAUGCCGCGUGUGUGAAGAAGGCCUUCGGGUUGUAAAGCACUUUCAGUGGGGAGGAAGGGUUGAUGUCUAAUACGCAUCAGCAUUGACGUUACCCACAGAAGAAGCACCGGCUAACUCCGUGCCAGCAGCCGCGGUAA